RNAcentral lists this ribosomal RNA (229 nucleotides) under uncultured bacterium. RNAcentral describes it as "partial 16S ribosomal RNA". It matches the Rfam family "Bacterial small subunit ribosomal RNA", at positions 108 to 339 of the family's 1533-position model. The record is from RNAcentral.
GAGUAACGCGUAGGUGACCUACCCCGUAGUGUGGAAUAACUGCCCGAAAGGGUAGCUAAUACCGCAUGUUGAGCCGACAUCAAUGUCGUCUCCAAAGCAGCAAUGCGCUAUGGGCGGGGCCUGCGUUCGAUUAGCUAGUUGGUGAGGUAAUGGCUCACCAAGGCGAUAAUCAAUAGCUGAUUUGAGAGGAUGAUCAGCCACACUGGGACUGAGAUACGGCCCAGACUCC